AUUGAACGCUGGCGGCAUGCCUUACACAUGCAAGUCGAACGGCAGCGCGGGAGCAAUCCUGGCGGCGAGUGGCGAACGGGUGAGUAAUAUAUCGGAACGUGCCCAGUAGUGGGGGAUAGCCCGGCGAAAGCCGGAUUAAUACCGCAUGAGACCUGAGGGUGAAAGCGGGGGAUCGCAAGACCUCGCGCUACUGGAGCGGCCGAUAUCAGAUUAGCUAGUUGGUGGGGUAAAGGCCUACCAAGGCAACGAUCUGUAGUUGGUCUGAGAGGACGACCAGCCACACUGGGACUGAGACACGGCCCAGACUCCUACGGGAGGCAGCAGUGGGGGAAUUUUGGACAAUGGGCGCAAGCCUGAUCCAGCAAUGCCGCGUGCAGGAAGAAGGCCUCGGUUGUAAC
This 398-nucleotide ribosomal RNA is filed under the name uncultured bacterium. RNAcentral describes it as "bacterial SSU rRNA". It matches the Rfam family "Bacterial small subunit ribosomal RNA", at positions 29 to 429 of the family's 1533-position model. The record is from RNAcentral.